RNAcentral lists this ribosomal RNA (429 nucleotides) under bacterium. RNAcentral describes it as "partial 16S ribosomal RNA". It matches the Rfam family "Bacterial small subunit ribosomal RNA", at positions 355 to 776 of the family's 1533-position model. The record is from RNAcentral.
UAGGGAAUCUUCGGCAAUGGGGGCAACCCUGACCGAGCAACGCCGCGUGAGUGAAGAAGGUUUUCGGAUCGUAAAGCUCUGUUGUAAGAGAAGAACGUGUGUGAGAGUGGAAAGUUCACACAGUGACGGUAACUUACCAGAAAGGGACGGCUAACUACGUGCCAGCAGCCGCGGUAAUACGUAGGUCCCGAGCGUUGUCCGGAUUUAUUGGGCGUAAAGCGAGCGCAGGCGGUUUAAUAAGUCUGAAGUUAAAGGCAGUGGCUUAACCAUUGUUCGCUUUGGAAACUGUUAAACUUGAGUGCAGAAGGGGAGAGUGGAAUUCCAUGUGUAGCGGUGAAAUGCGUAGAUAUAUGGAGGAACACCGGUGGCGAAAGCGGCGCUCUGAUCUGUAACUGACGCUGAGGCUCGAAAGCGUGGGGAGCAAACAGG